CCGGCGACCGGCGCACGGGUGAGUAACACGUAUGGAACCUGCCCGCAGCAGGGGGAUAAGCGGAAGAAAUUCCGUCUAAUACCGCGUAACAACGUUGGGAGGCAUCUCCCGAUGUUUAAAGAUUUAUCGGCUGCGGAUGGCCAUGCGGCGCAUUAGCUAGUCGGCGGGGUAACGGCCCACCGAGGCGACGAUGCGUAGGGGUUCUGAGAGGAAGGUCCCCCCACACUGGUACUGAGACACGGACCAGACUCCUACGGAAGGCAGCAG
Molecule: ribosomal RNA, 267 nt
Filed under: uncultured bacterium
Lineage: Bacteria
Description: partial 16S ribosomal RNA
Rfam family: Bacterial small subunit ribosomal RNA
Source: RNAcentral